CAAUUCGAAACACCUCAACUUUUUCAGAACAGGUCCGAGUCAAAUAGCAAUGAUUCGAAGCACUUCUUUUUCCAUUACACUAUUUCGGAAACCUAA
This 96-nucleotide ribosomal RNA is filed under the name Triticum aestivum (bread wheat). Its description in RNAcentral is "partial small subunit ribosomal RNA". Lineage: Eukaryota; Viridiplantae; Streptophyta; Magnoliopsida; Poales; Poaceae. The record is from RNAcentral.